RNAcentral lists this transfer RNA (28 nucleotides) under Pseudoroegneria strigosa. RNAcentral describes it as "partial tRNA-Met". The record is from RNAcentral. Lineage: Eukaryota; Viridiplantae; Streptophyta; Magnoliopsida; Poales; Poaceae.
GGGGUUGCGGGUUCGAUUCCCACUACCG